Molecule: long non-coding RNA, 489 nt
Organism: Gordionus sp. m RMFG-2023
Lineage: Eukaryota; Metazoa; Nematomorpha; Gordioida; Chordodea; Parachordodidae
Exons: 3
Source: RefSeq, a predicted model, not a curated record
GAAUUGCAGAAACGGCUCAUUCUUAUGUUCGGUGUCAAAAAAUAAUCCCGCCAAAUCCGACUCGAGUAAAGGGGAAUCUCUCGUUUGGAUUAUGUCAAGGUGAAAUGUAUCUUCUAGCAUCGUUUUGUUUUUGAAGAUUUUGCCAAUGAGUUAUGGAGUUCUUAUGACUAUCCUCAACAGCUUAAUUCCCUUCCAAGAGGCAGCUGGAGGCAAUGUAGGAGACGCUAAUUCAAAAGAUUCGAUGCUAAUAUUUCUCGGGGCGGACGCCCGGUAUGAUGGAUGUGGUUAUUAUGGAUGUGGUCGCAGAUACAGAAGACCAUAUCGUCGUUACCCUCGUCCUUAUUACCCUCCUUAUUACCCUCGCCCUUAUUACCCUCCCCCUCCCGUUUAUUACCCUCCCCCUCCCGUUUAUUACCCUCCCCCAUAUGGAUAAAACAAAUAGCUUUGAUGACCAACAUGGAGGGCUUACGUGGAAUCAUUAUUAUUUAU